Small nucleolar RNA from Arabidopsis thaliana (thale cress), 74 nucleotides. It matches the Rfam family "Small nucleolar RNA snoR60". From Rfam's summary of the family: snoR60 is a member of the C/D class of snoRNA which contain the C (UGAUGA) and D (CUGA) box motifs. Most of the members of the box C/D family function in directing site-specific 2'-O-methylation of substrate RNAs. NCBI's taxonomy places the organism in Eukaryota, Viridiplantae, Streptophyta, Magnoliopsida, Brassicales, Brassicaceae. The record is from Rfam.
CGGCAGAUGAUGAUUUUACUUGGAUUCCCCUUCAGAACAUUUAUGGGUGUUGCAAACUCCAAGCUUCUGAUGCU